Bradysia coprophila is the source of this 152-nucleotide long non-coding RNA. Lineage: Eukaryota; Metazoa; Arthropoda; Insecta; Diptera; Sciaridae. The record is from RefSeq and is a predicted model, not a curated record.
UUUAUGUAAAAUGACCUAAAAUGAACUCAAACGAACACUGACAUAAAUUGAAUUAAUAUUCGCAAAAAAUAAGGCAACCAGAUAAUUCAGGUCCCUAAGACAAAUCAAUCGCUCCUGCCUGGCUUACUUUACUCUGCCAUGAUUACAGAUUU